This is a non-coding RNA of Paramuricea clavata, 87 nucleotides long. NCBI's taxonomy places the organism in Eukaryota, Metazoa, Cnidaria, Anthozoa, Malacalcyonacea, Plexauridae. The record is from the annotation of a GenBank genome assembly.
UGGUCGUUUUAACCAAAAAUAAUUGGUUGUUUUGACCAAUAAAUAAAUGGUCAAUUUGACCAAUUAAUUUUUUGGUUAAAACGACUA